CCGCCGGCGAAACUCAGCCUG
Molecule: non-coding RNA, 21 nt
Filed under: Arabidopsis thaliana (thale cress)
Lineage: Eukaryota; Viridiplantae; Streptophyta; Magnoliopsida; Brassicales; Brassicaceae
Source: RNAcentral